UCUGCUUCACAAGUGGAACCUGUUGUUAACAGUUUGGUCAUCCUGUAGAGGGAAGCAUAGAUGAAUGGAAACACCGGCCAGCAUUAAACAGCAUGCCGCUUUAUCAAACUGCGUCUUGUUACCUGUCUUUUGGCACAUUU
This is a non-coding RNA of Hordeum vulgare subsp. vulgare (domesticated barley), 140 nucleotides long. NCBI's taxonomy places the organism in Eukaryota, Viridiplantae, Streptophyta, Magnoliopsida, Poales, Poaceae. The record is from Rfam.